CACAUCUGUUCCUCCCUCAUAAAACCCUAGCGGUGCCGAACAGAGGUGCUGAGCUUUAUAACGGCGGUUGUAGUCCACGCACGGAGCUUAGAGCUCGACUCAUGGAGAUGGAGACUUGAGGUUCUUGGAUUUCUGCAAUUUGCAGUAUCGGAGAAGAUGAGCUACUGGGGUAGCUUUGGUUGAAAUCGGUUAUGGGAUUUGAAUGAUUGGUGAUGUUGGAAUUGCAGCCACGACGGAAUUAAACUCUUAAUCGGAAAAGAAGAUUAGUAAGGGCCAGGUUUGGUGAUCUUGUAAUUGUUAUGGUUUAGUUGAACAAAUUAUGAUGGUGAUUUGAGCAUGAUGUUGAAUGGUUGGAAAAUGGAUUAAACGAAGGUUAAUUUAAGAUGACAUUUUGGGUCAAAUGCUUACACAGUUUGGUAAUUGAGAUUGAAUUAGUUUUCAGAAGUAAAUUAGUGACACAAGCAUUGUAUCUGCUGCAUUUUUUAUUGUAUUAUGAGCAUGUAAAGUUCGUAAAGUGAUGAGUUUAUACCAAUGUCGAAAUAUCAUAUAAGGAAGUGGUAGAAUUCAAAUAAAAAGUAAAUAAAUAAGUGACUUCAAAAUCUGAUAAAGGACCAAAACCUUCUUUUGAUAAAGUCAAAGAGGAAUGCGCCAAGCCAGGCCAUGUGCCUCCUCUGUACGCUCCCCGACCACAUGCUCGAGACCUGCACACUGUUGUAGGGGUGAGCUUUCGUCCUCGCAUGCCCAGUAAGGGUCGACCCAACCAUGCUAGGUGUUGGCUAUCUAGUUGAUUUUUCAACCCUUGGCUCCGACUUCGAUUGGAUCCCUCAGAUCCUUUGCUGCAAAUCUGCUCUAGAUAGAGACUGCUUCGUUUGGAGCGUGUUUACCCUCUUGGGAUGAGAACGGUGGGACAACCUCGACCCACUCUUAGUGGUCUCCCGACGGUUUAAUUUGGCAGCGGACGACCUUGGAGGGUGGAAUCAAUCUGCCUCUUCUUGUUCCUAGACCAGAUGGUGGUUGGAAGAGGUUGGUGGCGGUGCUUGGUCUCAGAGCGUUGGGUGGUGGUAGCUCUAUGUUGGCGAACUUUUAUAGCGAUCGAUGCGCUAGGCACCGAUUUGGUUCUCUGGUGCUUUUCGAACCUGACAGGUCAGUGUAUCCGGUGAAGUUGGAGACGUCGGUGCUAUUGAAGGAGUCGAUGAAUCCUUUGUGGCUUGGGUGCAUGGCUGUUGGUGCUAAGGAGAUCUCACCCGAGUGCAGCGGUGCAGUCGAGGUUGACCGAGGUUUCAGGCGGAGAGUAACAGCACUGCAGACCUGGCAACCCCAAUCAGUUUAUGGUUUUGGGCUAUGUCACGAGACUAUGUUGUAGCUAGGGUUUGCAUUUUGGACUUGGGCCCUUCCUUGAGCUUUGGGCCUGAUUCUUGGAUUGCUAAAGCUAUUGAUAGUGUAUUUGAAUUUCUUUAUUCUUGUAUGAUUGCGAGCUCCAACCCUUCUAAAGGGCAGGAUUUCGUAGUUGUUUAGUUGUUUAGUUAGAUUUUAAGUCUAUGCUAGUAGAAGCUUCUCUAGAAGCGUCUGUAGAAGUA
Long non-coding RNA from Rosa rugosa (rugosa rose), 1577 nucleotides. RefSeq lists it as uncharacterized. The record is from RefSeq and is a predicted model, not a curated record. The transcript has 2 exons. Lineage: Eukaryota; Viridiplantae; Streptophyta; Magnoliopsida; Rosales; Rosaceae.